Molecule: ribosomal RNA, 253 nt
Filed under: uncultured bacterium
Lineage: Bacteria
Description: partial 16S ribosomal RNA
Rfam family: Bacterial small subunit ribosomal RNA
Source: RNAcentral
UACGUAGGGGGCAAGCGUUGUCCGGAUUUAUUGGGCGUAAAGCGCUCGCAGGCGGCCUGAUGCGUCGUGCGUGAAACACCCCGGCUCAACUGGGGAGGGUCGUGCGAUACGGUCAGGCUCGAGGCCAGUAGGGGGAUGCGGAAUUCCGGGUGUAGUGGUGGAAUGCGUAGAGAUCCGGAGGAACACCAGCGGCGAAGGCGGCAUCCUGGACUGGUACUGACGCUCAGGAGCGAAAGCGUGGGGAGCGAACAGG